This 161-nucleotide small nuclear RNA is filed under the name Oryza meridionalis. RNAcentral describes it as "snRNA U1". It matches the Rfam family "U1 spliceosomal RNA". Rfam says of the family: U1 is a small nuclear RNA (snRNA) component of the spliceosome (involved in pre-mRNA splicing). Its 5' end forms complementary base pairs with the 5' splice junction, thus defining the 5' donor site of an intron. Lineage: Eukaryota; Viridiplantae; Streptophyta; Magnoliopsida; Poales; Poaceae. The record is from RNAcentral.
GUACUUACCUGGACGGGGUCGACGGGCGAUCAAGAUGGCCCGUGGCCUAGAUCAAUGGCUCACAUUGCACUUGGUGAGCGCGUUGGUUUACCAUCUCCCCAAGUGGGAGAGUGGACGUCAUAAUUUGUGGUAGAGGGGGUACGCGUUCGCGCGGCCCCUGC